UCUGAAUGUUANUGUCUUCCGANUAACUAUACAAUCNUUAAAACUUUCAACAACGGAUCUCUUGGUUCUGGCAUCAGCAUGAAGAACGCAUCGAAAUGCGAUAAGUAAUGCGAAUUGCAAAAUUCAAUGAGUCAUCGAAUCUUUGAACGCACAUUGCGCCCUGUGGUAUUCCACAGGGCAUGCCUGUUCUAGCGUCAUUUCAACCCUCAAGCCUCCCUUGGUGUUGGGCCCUGCCCGCCGCGGCCGGUCUCCUAAAUGAUAUUGGCGGCGCCGCCUGGCCCUCACCGCUACUACAGCUCUCGCUCCACGGUCCGGCGGCACCCUGCCANAACCCCC
Molecule: ribosomal RNA, 336 nt
Filed under: uncultured Myxotrichaceae
Lineage: Eukaryota; Fungi; Ascomycota; Leotiomycetes; Myxotrichaceae
Description: eukaryotic LSU rRNA
Rfam family: 5.8S ribosomal RNA (bases 42-197)
Source: RNAcentral